This 1371-nucleotide long non-coding RNA is filed under the name Anser brachyrhynchus (Pink-footed goose). Its description in RNAcentral is "lncRNA (ENSABRG00000003234.1)". The record is from RNAcentral. Lineage: Eukaryota; Metazoa; Chordata; Aves; Anseriformes; Anatidae.
AUGGGAUUGCAAAACUCGCUCUGCGAGAAUCAGCUGCGGCUGGAGGAGGAAAUGCUUCAGCUUCCUGCUCGAGAAAAAAAAAUUCCCAGAGUUGCAGCCAUCCCCAGGCCGGGGCUGGGACAGCCUCUGCUGAAGGCAAACAGCGCUGGGCACCGGCCAGCACCCAGCCCUGCCUGGGGCGGGCAGACGGGAGGCAAAGGCAGAGCAGGAUGCGUGCCCAGGGGCUGUGCUCAGCCUCCGUCAGCGGUGCCAGGCUCCCAGGCACGGUCCUGCCGUGCCUGUUUGGUGCUGAGGGGUCAGUGCUGGCCCCAGCUGCACGGGCUGCAGUAUUGCACGUGGGGACGUGCUCAGGGUGGGCUGCUGGCACUGUUCUGCUUACGGAGCUACCGGGUGCUCCGGCCGGGUGCUCAAAGCCCCACCAGGGGCUUCUCCAGAGCACAGAAGCCUGCAGUAGCUGGUCUUUUUCCAAGUCUUCUCCAUAGCUCCGUGAGAAGAUGGAUUUAUCACGACCUGUCCAUCUCCAAGAGCUGCUUUGCAGACGUUACAGGUCCCAGAGGCUUCCCACACCCAGCUGCAAGGACAGCCCAGAUCCUCCGGCCCUGCCCCAAAACCUCUCUGCUUGUGCAAGCCCAGCGUGCUCCCAGCAGCCGAGCCACGCUGCGGCUGCCGCACGGCUCCGGCGGUGCCCACGCACCCUGGGACCACAAAAUUAUCCAUGCAACCACGUUCAUUCACCCCAGCCUCUCCUGUUCCCCGGGGGUGUUCCUGCAGACCCCAGCUCCAGCUCCCUCCCGGCUGUGCCAGCACCGCAGAGCUCAGCAGCUCCCUGUCCCCGCAGGAGGCACGGCCCCGGCAGCCUUUGAGCCUGCCCCAGGUAAAUCUGCCCCAAAGAAGCGCAGAGAAGGCGAGAGGAAGCAGGUGCAGACAGAGCAAACAAGGCUGCCUCCCUCCCCAGCCGCAAACCCUCCCCCCAUGCGUGCGAAGCACCAGAUCCGGCCCGGCCCCAGCGCCUGCAAACACUGCCAGCGGCUUUCGGCAGCGAGCAAAGGGCGGAGGGGAGAUUUCGGGGCAUUCCCCAGCCCCGGCUGCUCCCGAGCUGCACCUCCAGCGUCGCUCUCACCGUAUUUCAGCGAUCAAGGAGACCGAGGACUUCUCAUCUCAGCAGGGAAAACCAAGGGAGGCCGUGGCGGGGCUCAGCGUCACCGGCCCCACAUGCACACGGGCUCGGUCACGCGGCAACGCUUCAGCGGUGCCUCCGUGGGGUGUCCCCAGAGAGGGGCCAGAAUUAGCCCCAGAUGCUCAGAUCCUGGCCCUGCUGGGGAAAAAGGCAGCGGGGAGGGCAAGGGGGUCACAGCCCAGGCCUGGAGCUGA